RNAcentral lists this long non-coding RNA (271 nucleotides) under Lathyrus oleraceus (garden pea). Its description in RNAcentral is "Pisum sativum (pea) long non-coding RNA (PSAT_LNC015488)". Lineage: Eukaryota; Viridiplantae; Streptophyta; Magnoliopsida; Fabales; Fabaceae. The record is from RNAcentral.
AAAAAUAAACAAAAUAAAAUAAAGAAAUGCCUAAGUAAAAAGUAGGAGAAUUGUGCAUAAAUAUGCACUUAUCAAAUUCCCCCGGACUUGAACUUUUGCACUCCGAGCAAAAUUGAAAUAAAACAAAGAAAGCACACACACAUCAAUAGCUACUCAUUCCAGGCUACAAGUCUUCUUCGGUUAAGUUUGCAUUGAUAGGUACUAAUCUUGCACACUAAGGAUAUUGUAAGAACACUAAUCCACAGUUAUGCAGACAUAAACCUCCUGAAUA